AUGCGCCGGCACCCCGCUCACCCCAUCCUCCAGCCGCGACCCCUCCCCCGCCGCGGAAACCCUAGCGCAGGGAGUGUUGGCCUCGCCACCGCCGGAGCUCCUCCGAGCAUCGGCUUCGUGCGCGGCCUCUUCAUGCCUCCGCGGAUGACCACAGCGGAGGGUGGCGUCGCGCUGGCGCCGUCCCGUGCCGCUGCCGCCCCCUCAAAGCUCACCAAUGCGGCGCGGCCGAAGAAGGGCAAGACAUCCGCGAAGAAGAACAAGGCGGCGGACGGCUCCGGCACCUUGAAGGCGAGGAGAAAGAAGCUUGCAGGGCGUGUGACGGGUGCGGCAGCUACCGAAGCACCGGCGAGCUCACUCGUUGAGCCGGCCGCCGACGCGCACAACAUGUUCGACGGUAUGCCCCAAAGUGUCAAUGAUGAUGCAUACAUGUCAACUAUGGGUGUUGGCUCCAACAAUUCGCAUUGGUCUCAAACCAAUGACAUGCAUUUUGAAGACCAUGAGUUCGAGGUGGGCAAGGAUGGUGAGGGCAUUGUCGAUGCACCGAAAGGAAGAGCGGGCAAUUACACCAACGUCAAUGACAUCUUACUAUGCAAUACUUGGUUGCAAGUGUCGAGGGAUCCAUCCGUUGGAGGUGAUCAAAGUAGAGAUGCUUAUUGGGGGCGGAUGAAAGAACACUUUGAUGUUCGCAACAUGAGUGGAAUUGACCGCUCCGAGAGAUCACUUCGGUCCCGGUGGUCGACAAUCAACUUGGAUUGUCAAAGGUGGGCGGCCUGUCAAAAGGCGGUUGACAAGUUGAACCCAAGUGGCACAAAUGAGGACGAUAGAAGGAAAACCAAGAAGGGGAAGAUCAAGAAAGGAAGGAUCUUUACCUUGCCUCAUUGCUAUGAAGUGUUGAAGGAUGAUGAGAAAUGGAAGAAGCGUGAAGAUUUGGAUGAUUUGCAUUUGAGCAACAAACGCAAGUGA
RNAcentral lists this ribosomal RNA (963 nucleotides) under Triticum aestivum (bread wheat). RNAcentral describes it as "partial small subunit ribosomal RNA". The record is from RNAcentral. Lineage: Eukaryota; Viridiplantae; Streptophyta; Magnoliopsida; Poales; Poaceae.